GACGAACGCUGGCGGCGUGCUUAACACAUGCAAGUCGAACGGAAAGGCCCUGCUUUUGUGGGGUGCUCGAGUGGCGAACGGGUGAGUAACACGUGAGUAACCUGCCCUUGACUUUGGGAUAACUUCAGGAAACUGGGGCUAAUACCGGAUAGGAGCUCCUGCUGCAUGGUGGGGGUUGGAAAGUUUCGGCGGUUGGGGAUGGACUCGCGGCUUAUCAGCUUGUUGGUGGGGUAGUGGCUUACCAAGGCUUUGACGGGUAGCCGGCCUGAGAGGGUGACCGGCCAAAUGGGGAGGGGAGUACGGCCCAGACUCCUACGGGAGGGAGGAGGGGGGAAUAUUGACAAAGGGGGGGAAGCCUGAUGGAGCAACCCCGGGGGGGGGAUGGCGGCUUUCGGGUGGUAAACCGUUUUCGCCUGUGACGAAGGGUGAGUGACGGUAAGGGGGAAAGAAGCCCCGGCAAACUACGU
Molecule: ribosomal RNA, 467 nt
Filed under: uncultured bacterium
Lineage: Bacteria
Description: partial 16S ribosomal RNA
Rfam family: Bacterial small subunit ribosomal RNA
Source: RNAcentral